Molecule: long non-coding RNA, 3432 nt
Organism: Felis catus (domestic cat)
Lineage: Eukaryota; Metazoa; Chordata; Mammalia; Carnivora; Felidae
Exons: 3
Source: RefSeq, a predicted model, not a curated record
AUUAAAUGCAAUAAUUUGACCUCCACAUUGGAGAACUGGAUGCGACUGGUGUGACAGAAACUUCACUGGGUAGUAAGUCUGAGAAACUUUGUAUCAUUUCCCUCCCACCCUUGGAAGUGCAGGUGUCUCGCCAAGACCUACCGCCAUCUUGUCACUUCUUGCUCCUUUGGCCCUAUUUACGUGAUGCUUUUGAUAUUUGGGGCAAGCAUGAUAUCUUUCAAGAUAUUUAGAUGCCCCGGGUCCCUUCAGAGUGUGUUAGGACAGAGAAUGUGAGUGUUAACACGGCCCGAGGGCAAGACCGCAAGGGUAUAGUAUUGUUGGCUCCAUAUACAUGUGAACUAUAUAGAUUCUCCUUCAUCAUAGGGUUGGAAACACUUAUUUUCGCAAUUAGUAUCUGGACGCCAUGUACCUGAUUUGGGUUUAUGAUCCGGUCAAGACGCCAUAUUGACACAAAAGCUACACUUGGAUCCACUUCCUGUAAAAUCUUGGACAAUUCUGUUCAAACUUUGGGUUGCUGGUGAAACCAUCUGCUGAAUGCUAUUAAUGUGCCUGACAAUAUGCUAAGGGAUUUAUAUGACACAAUUCUCUUAAUGUCCACUGCAAUCCUCUUGGGUUUUAGAAAAUGGACUCAUGUGUCUAGUGCACCAGGUGAGAGACGAGAGGGGUGGAAAUGAGGGCCAUGCCAAUGGCAGAGACCAGUGAAUGAAGACAGAAUCAAUCACCAACCGCAUGUGAAUGGAUUUGCCUUGGGAAGUAGAAGACGCCACCAAGAGACUGUAUUGUGCAGUAAGACAGUUACAGGCUCACCUCCAUGGAUCUGCGGGGAGCCUUGGCUCUAUGAGCUCCUUGAUGUGAGACUUGGAGGGAGCUGCAUAACCUCUCAGCCUCCGCGUCAGUCCGUCUGAAAUCCCUCCCUAAAGGCCUCCUGUGCUAGCUGCGUGCUUCAUGCAUAGUGUGCACUUAACUAAUAUUUGUUCUGCACCUUUAUAUUCAUUUAAUUUCCCUGAUUCCCAUGGCAACCCAGACGUCUUAUAUCACCAUCUCAUCUCUUUGUUCUGAAAACUUCAAUUCAAUCUUCCUCCCUUUUGCAUCCUGUUGCAGAUUUUUUCUGCACACCAUAUUUAGAAUUACUAUCCUAAACGAUUAUUCCCACAUACAAUAUCCUUAUACAGUAAUUGGCGGUAGGUCAUUCUUUCUUGUGAACGAAAUGUCUUAGCUACUCAUUGUCUGUGACGGGGAAUGGUGGGUCUUUUCAGAUAUUAGCAUAGGAUUUGGGCAGAUGUACCCGAGUAUAGUAACUGAAGCUUAGGGCCAACGCCAUUAUAUCCUUACCUACCGGGCCAUCCCAAGAGACCGUGUGCACUGAGAACGAGGCAAUGCAGAGAUGAGUGAUUUAGGUUGGUUCUCAUGAGAAAAUCUUUUAACUGAGAUGCAUCAACCUUAAUGAGCUAGAUGCUUAUAUUUUAUCCCUUUCAUUCGGAGAAAGGAAAAACUACACAUGCACGUUCAUGCAUGCCCUUGCACGGGCAAACACAUUUGCAUAUAAAUUUGUAUUUACCCUGAUCCCUCAUAUUACCUGCAUCUACCUUCAAUCUAUGGGCAAUUCUGAUCUUCGCUGUGUGCAGAAUACAUCCCACAUAUGAUGAGGGUCUAAUUCCACGGCUCCCUCUGUAUCCUUGCUCAUGGUCCCCACUUGGCUGCUGAAAUUGUCCACUCCCUGGCCUGCCAGCUUUUGUUCUUGCCUCUCUAGAGUCUAUUUCCCACACAGUGGCCAGAGUGAGAUUUUAAUAACCUAAGCCAAAUUAAUAUUUCCCAAUGUAAAACCCUCUAGUGGCUUCUUCUAAUAGGAAGUGUAAAUCUAUUUUACUCAUCCUGACUGGAAAGAAUCUACACAUGAUGGUCCUUUGCACCUUGCCAAACCUGCUUCCUACCAUUUUCUCCUCCAUUCAAUGUAUACUACUGGUUUUCUUCCUUUCCUUCGUUCUUUCUUUCCUUCUUUCCUUCCUUCCCUCCUUCCUUCCUUCCUUCUUCAUUUAGAUAUCAUUGAUAUACAAAUAAUUGCUCAGAUUUAAUAUACCUCUUGAUGAGUUUCUACAUAUGUAUUAUACACUCAUGCUAUUAUCACCACAACCAAAAUACUAAACAUAUCCAUUAUAUCCAAAACUUUCUUUGUGUUCACAUGUGUGUGUUUUGAUAAGAACACGUAACAUGAGAACCAGCCUAUUAACACAUUUUUAAGUGCAAAAUACUGUGUUGUUAACUAUAGGUACCAAGUUGUGCAGCAGAGCUCUAGAACUUGAAUUCAUCUUGCUUAACAGACUUGCCAAAUAAUUCCCCAUUUUCCCUGCGCCCCUGGCUCCUGGCAACAACCAUCAUUCUAUUCUCUGUUUCUAUGACUUUGGUUAUUUUAGACACUUCAUAUAACUGGAAUCAUGGAGUAUUUGUCCUUCCGUCUUUUCCCUUUGUCGAAAAAUCUCUGCUCUUUCUGAUCUCAUAGCCUGUUUCAUGGGAUGCCCUGUCUUUUCACAACGUUCUUCCCCAACAUUCUACUAGAGCUGCAUCCUAGUUACUAUGUAGGUAUUGCUCCUAUGGUACCUCUUUGUUGACAUUUCUUGUAUCAAUCCACCCUCUUCUUAUAUAAAGUCACUCUCUCACAUGACCGUAUUAUAUUUUAAUUAUGAAUAUUAAUGCCUGUCUUAAAUUAUUUUUUAUUUACUUACUUGCUUCUUAUGAUUGAUUAUCUUCUUACCACCCGCACCUAGACUGUGUAUCAGUGCUGAGAACAAUGUGUAUUCCAGCAGGAGACACUCACUCAACUCUUGCUUGAUGAUAAGUGAGUCUGAAUCAGAUCAUACAAAUUCAUGCCACCAGAUCACCCCACUUUACAGAUGGCCAAACAGCCUUAUUCACCCCCAAGAGGGUUUGGGGCUCCCACCCCUACCACAUUGUCCCUUCCUUCCGCCAUGUUUUGGUUGGCUUUUAUUUUUCUCCAUAAUAACUUCCUCAUAACACAGCACACUUAGGAAAUAGAUAACGGCAGUACAACUUAUUUAUUAUAUGUCUGAGAGUAAUUUUUAGAGCUUUAAAAUGUUAUGUACAAAUUUUAUAGAGAAAUGAGAGAGGGAUAACCCAACCUUAUAGAUUUGGGUGGAUGAUGGCUCCCCAGGUCCCCAUAUUUUGUGGUAUCACGAUUACAGCAAUGUUCAUCAAACUUCUGCUUUCUAUUCCAUCCACCAGUCCCCACGUCUCGCUGUUCUUUUUUCCUGGGCUGUUUUUUUCACUAAGAAUUUCCUCUUAUUCUUGAAGCCAAAUGUGUACACGCCACAUGCUUCUCAGAAUGGAGGCAGCUGUCUUCAGAAUUGUUUGUCUUUGUGUCGUUACUGCAUUGUUAUUAAAAGUGCUCAUUCAUUUACUAAUCCUUAAAUCAGUGAU